Molecule: ribosomal RNA, 406 nt
Filed under: uncultured bacterium
Lineage: Bacteria
Description: bacterial SSU rRNA
Rfam family: Bacterial small subunit ribosomal RNA
Source: RNAcentral
UGGGGAAUAUUGCGCAAUGGGCGAAAGCCUGACGCAGCUACGCCGCGUGGGUGAUGAAGGCCUUCGGGUUGUAAAGCCCUGUCGGGAGGGACGAAGUUCUGACGGUACCUCCCAAGAAAGCACCGGCUAACUCCGUGCCAGCAGCCGCGGUAAUACGGAGGGUGCAAGCGUUGCUCGGAAUCAUUGGGCGUAAAGCGUACGCAGGCUGUUCGUUAAGUCGGGUGUGAAAGCCCGGGGCUCAACCCCGGAAAUGCGCCCGAAACUGGCGAGCUUGAGUGCGGGAGAGGGAAGCGGAAUUCCUGGUGUAGAGGUGAAAUUCGUAGAUAUCAGGAGGAACACCGGUGGCGAAAGCGGCUUCCUGGCCCGACACUGACGCUCAUGUACGAAAGCGUGGGGAGCAAACAGG